Molecule: long non-coding RNA, 5066 nt
Filed under: Marmota monax (woodchuck)
Lineage: Eukaryota; Metazoa; Chordata; Mammalia; Rodentia; Sciuridae
Source: RNAcentral
GCUGACAUGAACAUCAGUGAAGUCCUGGCAGUCAUGAACACCCUCCUCUCUGUUGCUGCUCGAGAGGUAUCUCAUGGCUUCCUCUCUCUCUUCUUUGCCUUGUGCUUUUAGGAACACAUGAUAUGGUAGUCGCUAUGCCUGUCCUUUAGCCCUUAUCUACAGUAUGACUUGAUGAUUACACAUGAACACAGAGGUUUCCCAGCUAACCCCUAUGAACAAGUAAGGGGACCUUUCCUUUCCUGUCCCCUGGUAGUCAGCAAGGAGUAAAAGCACAGAUGUGCUUAUUAAGACUUCUGUGAGGGGCUGGGGAUGUGGCUCAAGCGGUAGCGUGCUUGCCUAGCAUGUGUGUGGCUCAGGUUCAGUCCUCAGCACCACAUACAACAAAGAUGUUGUGUCCGCCGAAAACUAAAAAUAAAUAAAUAAAUAUUAAAAUUCUCUCUCUCUUAAAAAAAAAAAAAAAAAAGAAGGGCAAAAUUCAUUGAUGAGUUUAUUUAAAAAAAAAAAAAAAGACUUCUGUGAAAAAAGAGGAAUGGAUUUGUAAUCAAGGACCCUGAUACUAUCAGUGGUCAGCCCAACACGUAGUUAUAUAUUUGUGAUGUGAAUUUUGUGGAAAACUGUUUUGACAUUUAAAAAAAAACUGAUUACUUAGUAAAUUUGAAGACUAAUCAAAUCUGAAAAUGUAGUCUCUUUUUCCCAUAUUAAUGAUAUUUUUUAAACUUUGUACUUCUUUUUUUCAUAUGAAAGGUUUUGCUUCUCAAAAUGUAGUUCAUGCUCUUAAUGAUGGGAAGCACCAGGAAUAGUGAAAAAAAUAAUAAUUUCCAGGUCCUACCCCAAGCUACUGAUUUGGAAUGUCUAAAGAUAGGUUUAAGAAUGUGCAUUUUUACCAAGCACUCCCAAGAGAUUUGGAAAAGAGAGAAAUGCUUUCCUAGGAGCCAAGAACUACCUCAUAGGGCUAAAUAUAGGAACCAGAGAGAAGAGGUGUUAUGGUAGGACAGUCCACACCAUACCCUUGAGAUAUUUAAUGAUAUGGAUGUCAAGGCAACUUAUCUGUUUCUUGUAACUGAACUUAGUGUCUUUAAAUCUUUUAUAUUUUUGAUAGUGCUUUACUGUUCUCAAGUUGCUGUUAGAGCCAUGAUUUUAUUCAUUCCUCACAGGCUGGAGCAAUAGGCCAGUGAAUAGUUAUCUCCCUCCCACCACCACCAGUUCACUUAUGGUGUCCUUAGAGAGCUUAUAAUCUGACUAGAUUAUCUGCCACAGUCACACUGAUGCUGACUGUUAUUUAGGCCUAUUAUUGCUUUAAAUCCAGGGUUGGGAUUUCACUAUGGUGCCUAUUUUCUUUAAGCUAACAUUAAUUCUUUAUACCUGAUUGGUUCUCUGUUUUCCACUGUCACAUUAAUUUUCUCUUAUUUUCAUUGUGCUUUCUGUCUUAUUUCCAGACUCUUCUGCCUACCUCUUGUUUUCCUUCAAAUUCUCUUUCCAGCCUAUUGCUCAUCCUUACUUGUUCUCUGCUCUGAUUUGCCAUUCUCAUCUCUAUCUUUAUUUUUACCAUUUCCCACACCUUCUCUUUCUCUUGGAAGCUCACCUAAAUUAUACCUGUUACACAAACCCUUGAAACUUUAUCUUAGCUCUUACCCUAACCAGUUCUUCCACUAAAGUCAUAUCAUCAGUUCCAUUGGGCAAAAAACCUCAGGGUUCCCACCUGGUAUUCAUAGAUGCUGCUGAAACUUAGGCCAUUGGACUCUAAGUCUUAUCCUCUUUCCACUAAGCCACACUUGCUUUAAGAUAUAUGUGGGGAAGCAAGGUGGCAUUUGUCCAAGAGAAUUUCCUCUAACUAUUACCAUAUGGAGAUCAAAUACUUGUCCUUUUUUCUCCUCCACUCAUCUGUGAUACAGAGGUUACAGAUAUUAUUGGACCUCAUAGGCCAGAGAUCACUGUAGCCAUUAACAGAAUUCCUUGAAUUAUCAUUCAUGGAGGCAUUUAUGGUUAUGUUAAAGAGGUAGAAUUAGUUUAGAGGAAAAAUGUAAAGGUGAUCCAAAGUAUACCUAGCAUGAAAUUUUUCUGCUAAGUCUGUUAACUCAACGGUAUCGCUGAAUACCUGCUAUGUAUGAGACCCUGUUCUAGGCACAGCAGAUACAGUGAUGGCAGAGCCCAGUCUUGAGAUCAGACAAAUGUGUGAUUAGACAAUUCUGACCACAUGGCAAGAACUGUCAGAAGGUGGGUAUGGGGUCCUUGGGGGAGUCAGGGAUUCAUACCUCACCAUGUCUGGUAGAGCUGAGAAAAGGCAUUUUCGAGAAGAUGGUGCUAAAGCUCUGCACAAGACCAUGAAUAAGGCUUAAGCAAGCAAAGAAGAACAGAAUGGCACUGUAGAUGGAGGGACUGGCACACACAGAAGCUUGUGACAAGGUGGGGAGGAGCAGGUGUUCAAAGAGCAGGAGUGAUAAUGGGUGGACGCUAAGCAUGCUUAGUUCAUAGUUCUGCCAGUGUUCAGAUGUUGAUACUGGUUGCACUCAGGGUAGUAGUCAGUGCUGGAGAUUGUAAUCAGUAAAAAACAAAUGAUAGUUGAAGUCUUAAAUAGAGAUAGUAUCAUGUCAUCCAUGUGUUUCUUGAGGCAAUCUUACAGAGAAGGGGUAGAGUCUCAGGAAGAAAUUCAGGAGAAACAGAAGCUUGGGGAGGAGACAGAGCUUCAUAGGGGAUAGAGGUCAAAGAGUCUCUGAGGUUCAGUGGGAAGGAUUUGCUCGCGAGGUGGUAAAUGGUGUCUGAGGGGAGUGGUAUCCACAGAAGCAGCAGAGUGGGAGGGAAGGGGAAAGCAAAGCCUCAGAAGAUAGAGGCAACUUCUAAAAAUGAGGUAGAUAUAUAUGAGUAUAUAUGACAAGGUGCCGUGGCCCACACCUAUAAUCCCAGCUAUGUGGAGGCUGAGGUAGGAGGAUCACAAGUUCAAGGCAAGCCUUAGCUUAACAAGACCCUUUCUCAUAAUAAGAAAUAAAGAUGAGUUAGGGUGAAGCUCAGUGAUAGAGCACCCCUGGGUUCAAUCUCCAGGACCCUCACAUGCACAUACACACACUCAUGAAAGAGUGUGUGUGUGUGUGUGUACAGAUGGCUUACAGAAACAACUCUCAUUUAAGUAUUAGAACAUUACUAGUAUCUUUGAAAUCCCGUCCCCCCAUCCCCAUGUCUUUUCAUGGCUCACCUUCCACUUUCCUCAACAGCUACAGCCACCAUUCUGAAGUUUGUGUUCAUCAUUCCUUAUUUUUCUUUUUCUUUGUAGUUAUCCAUACCCAAUGUGUUUAUUUUUCCUGAUUUUGUCCUUUAACAGAAUCAUAUGUGUACAAUCUUUUUGUGGCAUGUUUUGAGAUUCAUUCAUGUUGAUAUAUGUGUUGUCAUAUACUUUCCCUGGUGUGCAGUAUUCCCUCCAUAAACAUGUCACACUUUUUUUUAUCCAUUUUUACUUUGGAGGGAUUGUUGGGUUAGUUCCAGCUUGAGCCCGUGACAGUGCCAAUACAAGCAUACCUCAUGAUAUUUAUGUGUAAGAGUUUAUCUCUAAAGGUCGGGUGAUACUUCAAAGAAACUCCCAAUAACAAAGAUGGUGGUUAGAGAGCCAUGGAAAGAUGAAGAUUUAUUUUAAGGUGAGAAAAAUUUAACUGAAAGCUCACGAGAAGGAGCCAAAGAGAAAAGAAAUUUCAAGAUGUAAAACAGGGAAGAAAUAAGCAGUGGGGUGGGUUCCUGAGCUGUGGAAGGAAAUAUCCCGUGGAGCAGAAAACAUUGCUGUAAAGUUUCUGAAAAUUGCAGGGCAAGAGAGGAGUUUUCAUAAUGCCAUCUUUCUUGUUCACUUCUGGGUUGAAAACUCUUCUGAGACUAUUCCCCAUACAGGUAGUAUUUUUUUUUUUUUUUUUUUGCUAGUAAUAGCUGCUCCCAUAGAGGGCCCUUGGCUGUAUUCUUUGAGUAGCCUGCUUGGGACAUUUUGUAUUUGUCUGCUUCCUUGUAGUGUGAGCUGUUGAUGCUCAGUGGGACCCAAGGGGAGGCUGGCUCUGUGCUCCUCUCCCUCUUCUGGUCUGUCCAAGGCAGCCUGCUCUCCUGGUGCUAUCUGCAGCUAAAGGCAACUGACACAGCAGCCAAAGGCCUGGCCGUGGACCUUAUCGAAAAAUGUGAGUGUUGAUAUUAAAUACACAAGAGCAGGUGUCUGGAUUUAACUCUGCACAAAAACUUUCUCUUUUGUAACUCACACAGAGAUGUACACUGGUUCUUUUUUUUUUUUUUUUUACUAGGUUCUUUAUUAGAGUUCAGAUCUAUGCUGGGUGCAGUGAUGCACACCUAUAAUCCCAGCUACUUGGGAAGCUAAGCCAGGAGAAUUACAAGUUUGAAGCCAGCUUCAGAAAUUUGGCAAGACCCUCAGCACCUUAGUGAGACCCUGUCUCAAGAUUAGAAAUAAAAGGGGCUGGGGAUGUUGCUCGGUGGUAGAACUCUACUGGAUUCAAUCCCCAGUGCCACAAGAACAAAAAACACAAAAUAAAACCAAAAAACUGAAUAGGGUAACUUUUGCCCUCUUAAAAUAGAAUUCUAUAGUAUGUCUUUUUGCUCAGAAUUUCCUAUUUGAAUGUGGUAUAUGUCUUAGUAUUUUUUUUUGAGGAAUUGGGUCAUUCCAUAACCUGACAUUCUCUCUUCAGUCACACAGCACUCUUAGAUGAUGUCUCACUUGUCAGGAUAGUCUGUCAUCCAUGGCUUAAUCAAGUCAUCUAAAAAAGAGUUUUGAGCUUUUAGCAUCCAAGGUGUAUGAAUACUGCUGUGACCUCUGCCAGUCCUGAAGUAUUCAAAUUCAUGUCCUGUAAACCCACAGAAAAUUAUAUGAAACUAACAAGUUCUGAGAAAUUGGGUGGGAAAAAUUUGGUUUCAUCAAACUUGCCCUGAGCAGCCAUGGCAUAAAUGCUUAGGGUACUGAGUCCUAUAAUUGGAACCUGUUCCUUCAGAUUGGUGCCCCUAAUGCCUGGGCCCAUUGUAUACUAAAGGAAAAAAGGAUGCUGAGAGCUGGGCCCACUGACAAUGUAACUUCACUUAUAAAAGUGAUAUCUCCA